This 67-nucleotide transfer RNA is filed under the name Trichonephila inaurata madagascariensis. RNAcentral describes it as "tRNA-Arg". It matches the Rfam family "tRNA". From Rfam's summary of the family: Transfer RNA (tRNA) molecules are approximately 80 nucleotides in length. Their secondary structure includes four short double-helical elements and three loops (D, anti-codon, and T loops). The record is from RNAcentral. Lineage: Eukaryota; Metazoa; Arthropoda; Arachnida; Araneae; Nephilidae.
GAAGCACAAUGAAUAGCGCGUUGAACUUCUAAUGCAAAAGUCGUGGGUUCGAAUCCCACCUGCGAUG